Molecule: long non-coding RNA, 218 nt
Filed under: Setaria italica (foxtail millet)
Lineage: Eukaryota; Viridiplantae; Streptophyta; Magnoliopsida; Poales; Poaceae
Description: long non-coding RNA (SITA_LNC005872)
Source: RNAcentral
UAUUCUCCUUCUUCUUUUCUUCCCUGACAAGUGGGCCCAUGGCCGGCACUUUCCUCGGGCCGAGAAGUGGCCUGCCAGCUUUUAACCUGUGGCGCAUGGGCCUUUUUGCGGCAGCUCCCUUUUUGGGCCGGCUCCCUCCUCUCUCCUCCUUUUUAACCACCGGCCCAAACUAUUUCACUCAUACUGGGCCCAAAAGCCGGUCCACCAAACUUCUUUUC